RNAcentral lists this non-coding RNA (76 nucleotides) under Eubacterium ruminantium. Its description in RNAcentral is "c-di-GMP sequence". It matches the Rfam family "c-di-GMP-I riboswitch aptamer". Rfam says of the family: GEMM was predicted in a large-scale screen for bacterial structured RNA regulatory elements. Genes associated with GEMM are involved in a diverse array of functions, including chemotaxis regulation, signal transduction, secretion and chitin. Lineage: Bacteria; Bacillati; Bacillota; Clostridia; Eubacteriales; Eubacteriaceae. The record is from Rfam by way of RNAcentral.
GUAAAUAUUUGGCAAAGCAGUGGAAACGCUGUGACGCAAAGCUCUAGAACCUGUGAAAUGGUAGUCAGCUGCACUU